AUCCUGGCUCAGAGUGAACGCUGGCGGUAGGCCUAACACAUGCAAGUCGAACGGCAGCACAGGAGAGCUUGCUCUCUGGGUGGCGAGUGGCGGACGGGUGAGGAAUACAUCGGAAUCUACUCUGUCGUGGGGGAUAACGUAGGGAAACUUACGCUAAUACCGCAUACGACCUACGGGUGAAAGCAGGGGAUCUUCGGACCUUGCGCGAUUGAAUGAGCCGAUGUCGGAUUAGCUAGUUGGCGGGGUAAAGGCCCACCAAGGCGACGAUCCGUAGCUGGUCUGAGAGGAUGAUCAGCCACACUGGAACUGAGACACGGUCCAGACUCCUACGGGAGGCAGCAGUGGGGAAUAUUGGACAAUGGGCGCAAGCCUGAUCCAGCCAUACCGCGUGGGUGAAGAAGGCCUUCGGGUUGUAAAGCCCUUUUGUUGGGAAAGAAAUCCAGCUGGCUAAUACCCGGUUGGGAUGACGGUACCCAAAGAAUAAGCACCGGCUAACUUCGUGCCAGCAGCCGCGGUAAUACGAAGGGUGCAAGCGUUACUCGGAAUUACUGGGCGUAAAGCGUGCGUAGGUGGUCGUUUAAGUCCGUUGUGAAACCCCUGGGCUCAACCUGGGAACUGCAGUGGAUACUGGGCGACUAGAGUGUGGUAGAGGGUAGCGGAUUCCUGGGUGU
This 671-nucleotide ribosomal RNA is filed under the name Stenotrophomonas sp. NOE3. RNAcentral describes it as "bacterial SSU rRNA". It matches the Rfam family "Bacterial small subunit ribosomal RNA", at positions 16 to 676 of the family's 1533-position model. Lineage: Bacteria; Pseudomonadati; Pseudomonadota; Gammaproteobacteria; Lysobacterales; Lysobacteraceae. The record is from RNAcentral.